This 518-nucleotide long non-coding RNA is filed under the name Trifolium pratense (red clover). Its description in RNAcentral is "long non-coding RNA (TPRA_LNC011012)". The record is from RNAcentral. Lineage: Eukaryota; Viridiplantae; Streptophyta; Magnoliopsida; Fabales; Fabaceae.
UUUGAUUUACAAACUGAUAAUCAUCAUUAUAUAGGAAGUGGAUGAGUCUCAGUCACUCCAAUCAAAAAUUUAAGCAAAAUGGCUAAUGAGUCAAAUUUAAUGAGUCACUUUUUAAGUGUUCUGCAUCACAAUUCAAAUUCAGGCAACAAAACCACACCUAAGAAAGAAUGAACUAAUGAACUAAAAAUAAGUCAAAUUUAAUGAGUCACUUUAAGUGUUAUGUCAUACUACUUUGGUGUAAGAAGUGGAGUAAGCUUCUAUAGCAAUUGAAAAUCACAAUAUAAUAUCUUCCACUAAAAAUCACAACUCUAAACACAACACUAGAACAGUUGAAAAAAUAAUAAGUUUCUAAAUUAAAUCAAUUUGCAAUUGUAAGCAUAUACCUUAAUGACAGCAGUUUGAGUUGUGAGAGUGCGGCGACGAACGAGACUACCGACGGUUAAAUGCAUGGUUUAUUGGAUUAAGGUUCUUGGAGAGAAGAUGAUUUACGGGUUAUGGGUUAAGGUUCACAGUGGUUU